GGGAAUUUAGCUCAGUGGCAUAGUACCUGCCUGGCAGGCAUGAGUUCUUGGGUUCAAUUCCCCAUUACUUCCU
Molecule: transfer RNA, 73 nt
Filed under: Cavia porcellus (domestic guinea pig)
Lineage: Eukaryota; Metazoa; Chordata; Mammalia; Rodentia; Caviidae
Rfam family: tRNA
About the family: Transfer RNA (tRNA) molecules are approximately 80 nucleotides in length.
Source: Rfam by way of RNAcentral